RNAcentral lists this ribosomal RNA (1955 nucleotides) under human gut metagenome. RNAcentral's name for it is "bacterial LSU rRNA". It matches the Rfam family "Bacterial large subunit ribosomal RNA", at positions 1 to 1983 of the family's 2925-position model. The record is from RNAcentral.
GAAAGUAAACAAGGGCGCAUGGAGGAUGCCUAGGCUCUCGGAGGCGAAGAAGGACGUGAUAAGCUGCGAAAAGUUACGGUAAGGCGCAAAUAGCCCUAGACCCGUAAAUAUCCGAAUGGGGCAACCCGGCCAGCAAUGGCCAUACCGCCAAGCGGUAAGCCAACGCGGGGAACUGAAACAUCUAAGUACCCGCAGGAAAAGAAAAUAACAAUGAUUCCGCCAGUAGUGGCGAGCGAACGCGGAACAGCCCAAACCACCCGUGUUACGGCACGGGUGGGGUAGAAGGAUCCACGAUACGGCAAGAAAUAAGUUAGCGGAAUACGAUGGAAAUCGUAGCCAAAGACGGUGACAGCCCGGUACGCGAAAACCGACAGAAGCCCAGUGGACACCUGAGUAACCCAGGACACGAGAAAUCCGGGGCGAAUCAGCGGGGCCCAUCCCGUAAGGCUAAAUACUCCCGAGAGACCGAUAGCGAACCAGUACUGUGAAGGAAAGGUGAAAAGCACCUCGAACAGAGGAGUGAAAUAGUCCCUGAAACCGUCUGCCUACAAGCGGUCGGAGCAACGUAAGUUGUGACGGCGUGCCUUUUGCAUAAUGAACCUACGAGUUACUUUCUCCGGCAAGGUUAAGGGCUUCAGGUCCGGAGCCGAAGCGAAAGCGAGUCUUAAUAGGGCGUGAUAGUCGGAGUGAGUAGACGCGAAACCAAGUGAUCUACCCUUGGUCAGGAUGAAGGUUGGGUAACACCAACUGGAGGUCCGAAUGGGUAUACGUUGAAAAGUGUUCCAAUGAACUGAGGGUAGGGGUGAAAGGCUAAUCAAACUUGGAGAUAGCUCGUACUCCCCGAAAUGCAUUUAGGUGCAGCCUUUAUUUAGUAUAGCAUGAGGUAGAGCGACUGAUUGGAUGCGAGGGCUUCACCGCCUAUCAAGUCCAGAUAAACUCCGAAUGCGUGCUAUAUAUUGAUAAGGAGUGAGGGCGCGGGUGCUAAGGUCCGCGUCCGAGAGGAGAAGAAUCCAGACCAUCAGCUAAGGUCCCCAAAUAACAGUUAAGUUGAACUAACGAAGUCGGACUGCAGAGACAGCUAGGAUGUUGGCUUGGAAGCAGCCAUUCAUUUAAAGAGUGCGUAACAGCUCACUAGUCGAGGAGUCCGGCGUGGAUAAUACUCGGGCAUAAACUGUUUACCGAAGCUAUGGAUGUGUAAACACAUGGUAGGGGAGCAUUCCAACGGCGUCGAAGGUGAAGGAUGACCUUUGCUGGAGCUUUUGGAAACGCAAAUGUAGGUAUAAGUAACGAUAAAGGAGGUGAGAAACCUCCUCGCCGAAAGACUAAGGUUUCCUGAUCAACGUUAAUCGGAUCAGGGUAAGUCGGGACCUAAGGUUAAGCCGAACGGCGAUACCGAUGGAAGAAUGGUUUAAUAUUCCCAUACUACUUUAUGGAGCGAUGUGGAGACGGAGAAGUGACAGUCCUGCCAUCUGACGGAAUAGGUGGUUGAAGAGUGUAGAUGUAGAUUCCUGUAGGCAAAUCCGCAGGGAGAGUCGACCUUGACAGUAUGCCGCGUGCUUGCACAAGGCAAAAUGGACGUAAUCAGGCUCCCAAGAAAAUCCGCUAAGCAUAUUCAUAAAGUACCCGUACCGUAAACGGACACACGUAGUUGGGUUGAAAAUACUGAGGCGCUCGAGUGAUUCACGGUUAAGGAACUAGGCAAAUUGACCCUGUAACUUCGGGAUAAAGGGUCCCUACUGAGAGGUAGGGCGCAGAGAAUAGGUCCAGGCAACUGUUUAACAAAAACACAUGGCUGUGCGAAAUAGAAAUAUGAAGUAUACAGCCUGACACCUGCCCGGUGCUGGAAGGUUAAGAGGAGAGCUCAUCGCAAGAGAAGGCUUGAAUUGAAGCCCCAGUAAACGGCGGCCGUAACUAUAACGGUCCUAAGGUAGCGAAAUUCCUUGUCGGGUAAGUUC